GAGCGGAUGACGGGAGCUUGCUCCUUGAUUCAGCGGCGGACGGGUGAGUAAUGCCUAGGAAUCAGCCUGGUAGUGGGGGACAACGUUUCGAAAGGAACGCUAAUACCGCAUACGUCCUACGGGAGAAAGCAGGGGACCUUCGGGCCUUGCGCUAUCAGAUGAGCCUAGGUCGGAUUAGCUAGUUGGUGGGGUAAUGGCUCACCAAGGCGACGAUCCGUAACUGGUCUGAGAGGAUGAUCAGUCACACUGGAACUGAGACACGGUCCAGACUCCUACGGGAGGCAGCAGUGGGGAAUAUUGGACAAUGGGCGAAAGCCUGAUCCAGCCAUGCCGCGUGUGUGAAGAAGGUCUUCGGAUUGUAAAGCACUUUAAGUUGGGAGGAAGGGCAGUAAGCUUAAUACCUUGCUGUUUUGACGUUACCGACAGAAUAAGCACCGGCUAACUCUGUGCCAGCAGCCGCGGUAAUACAGAGGGUGCAAGCGUUAAUCGGAAUUACUGGGCGUAAAGCGCGCGUAGGUGGUUCGUUAAGUUGGAUGUGAAAGCCCGGGGCUCAACCUGGGAACUGCAUCCCAAACUGGCGAGCUAGAGUACGGUAGAGGGUGGUGGAAUUUCUGUGUAGCGGUGAAAGCGUAGAUAUAGGAAGGAACACAGUGGCGAGGCGACACC
RNAcentral lists this ribosomal RNA (666 nucleotides) under Pseudomonas sp. 865 IA. RNAcentral describes it as "bacterial SSU rRNA". It matches the Rfam family "Bacterial small subunit ribosomal RNA", at positions 64 to 729 of the family's 1533-position model. Lineage: Bacteria; Pseudomonadati; Pseudomonadota. The record is from RNAcentral.